UACGUAGGGGGCAAGCGUUGUCCGGAAUCAUUGGGCGUAAAGCGCGUGUAGGCGGUUCGAUAAGUCUGCUGUGAAAGUCCAGGGCUCAACCCUGGGAUGCCGGUGGAUACUGUCGGACUAGAGUGCGGAAGAGGCGAGUGGAAUUCCCGGUGUAGCGGUGAAAUGCGCAGAUAUCGGGAGGAACACCAAUUGCGAAGGCAGCUCGCUGGGACGUUACUGACGCUGAGACGCGAAAGCGUGGGGAGCAAACAGG
This 253-nucleotide ribosomal RNA is filed under the name uncultured bacterium. Its description in RNAcentral is "partial 16S ribosomal RNA". It matches the Rfam family "Bacterial small subunit ribosomal RNA", at positions 524 to 776 of the family's 1533-position model. The record is from RNAcentral.